Molecule: non-coding RNA, 126 nt
Organism: Triticum aestivum (bread wheat)
Lineage: Eukaryota; Viridiplantae; Streptophyta; Magnoliopsida; Poales; Poaceae
Source: Rfam
GACAUACUUCCUUCGUCUGAAAAAACUUGUCCCAAAUGUAUCUUUUAAAUUGAUGUAUCUAACACUAACUUGAUACUAGAUACAUUCAUUUGAGGCAUAAGCUUUUUCGGACGAAGGGAGUAGGUC